GAUGUAGAAAGCCUUCCUCAAGUUACAGCUACCCGAGAAAGACACUCCCAUAGGCGGCAAUAACAAGAAGUAUAGUUGAGAUAAAGUUUUAUUUCUCGUUAAACGACAAAGGUUUUUAAUAUAUAGAUAACGGCAACAUAUUAUGCUUAUUUUUAGAGUAGAUAGAGAUAUAGCUAAUUAGAGCUCCAACGAAUUUAAAUGCGGAGACUUGGAGUAGUUGGUGUGGUGGUGCAAGU
Molecule: long non-coding RNA, 236 nt
Organism: Arabidopsis thaliana (thale cress)
Lineage: Eukaryota; Viridiplantae; Streptophyta; Magnoliopsida; Brassicales; Brassicaceae
Product: other RNA
Exons: 1
Source: RefSeq